Molecule: ribosomal RNA, 637 nt
Filed under: uncultured bacterium
Lineage: Bacteria
Description: bacterial SSU rRNA
Rfam family: Bacterial small subunit ribosomal RNA
Source: RNAcentral
GCUCAACUGAGGAAUUGCUUUGGAAACUGGAUGACUUGAGUGCAGUAGAGGAAAGUGGAACUCCAUGUGUAGCGGUGAAAUGCGUAGAUAUAUGGAAGAACACCAGUGGCGAAGGCGGCUUUCUGGACUGUAACUGACGUUGAGGCUCGAAAGUGUGGGUAGCAAACAGGAUUAGAUACCCUGGUAGUCCACACCGUAAACGAUGAGUGCUAGGUGUUUGAGGGUUUCCGCCCUUAAGUGCCGCAGCUAACGCAUUAAGCACUCCGCCUGGGGAGUACGACCGCAAGGUUGAAACUCAAAGGAAUUGACGGGGGCCCGCACAAGCGGUGGAGCAUGUGGUUUAAUUCGAAGCAACGCGAAGAACCUUACCAGGUCUUGACAUCCUCUGACAACCCUAGAGAUAGGGCUUUCCCUUCGGGGACAGAGUGACAGGUGGUGCAUGGUUGUCGUCAGCUCGUGUCGUGAGAUGUUGGGUUAAGUCCCGCAACGAGCGCAACCCUUGAUCUUAGUUGCCAGCAUUCAGUUGGGCACUCUAAGGUGACUGCCGGUGACAAACCGGAGGAAGGUGGGGAUGACGUCAAAUCAUCAUGCCCCUUAUGACCUGGGCUACACACGUGCUACAAUGGACAGAACAAAG